GACGAACGCUGGCGGCGUGCUUAACACAUGCAAGUCGAACGGGAGUAUUGAAGAAGCUUGCUUUAGAGAUACUUUAGUGGCGGACGGGUGAGUAACGCGUGAGGAGCUGUCCUAUGCAGGGGGACAACAGCUGGAAACGGCUGCUAAUACCCCAUAAGCCGAGAGGUAAAAGGAUCAAUCCGGCAGAGGAGGUACUCGCGUCCUAUCAGCUAGUAGGUGAGGUAACGGCUCACCUAGGCGAAGACGGGUAGCCGGCCUGAGAGGGCGAACGGCCACGACUGGAACUGAGAUACGGUCCAGGACUCCUACGGGAGGCAGCAGUGGGGAAUAUUGGGCAAUGGGGGAAACCCUGACCCAGCGACGCCGCGUGGGUGAAGAAAUCCUUCGGGAUGUAAAGCCCUGUUGUAUGGGAAGAGCGGAAGACGGUACCAUACGAGGAAGCCCCGGCAAACUACGUG
RNAcentral lists this ribosomal RNA (458 nucleotides) under uncultured bacterium. Its description in RNAcentral is "bacterial SSU rRNA". It matches the Rfam family "Bacterial small subunit ribosomal RNA", at positions 28 to 507 of the family's 1533-position model. The record is from RNAcentral.